RNAcentral lists this ribosomal RNA (2928 nucleotides) under Salmonella enterica subsp. enterica serovar Hvittingfoss. RNAcentral's name for it is "23S ribosomal RNA". It matches the Rfam family "Bacterial large subunit ribosomal RNA". The record is from RNAcentral. Lineage: Bacteria; Pseudomonadati; Pseudomonadota; Gammaproteobacteria; Enterobacterales; Enterobacteriaceae.
GGGUUGUGAGGUUAAGCGACUAAGCGUACACGGUGGAUGCCCUGGCAGUCAGAGGCGAUGAAGGGCGUGCUAAUCUGCGAUAAGCGCCGGUAAGGUGAUAUGAACCGUUAUAACCGGCGAUACCCGAAUGGGGAAACCCAGUGUGACUCGUCACACUAUCAUUAACUGAAUCCAUAGGUUAAUGAGGCGAACCGGGGGAACUGAAACAUCUAAGUACCCCGAGGAAAAGAAAUCAACCGAGAUUCCCCAGUAGCGGCGAGCGAACGGGGAGGAGCCCAGAGCCUGAAUCAGCAUGUGUGUUAGUGGAAGCGUCUGGAAAGGCGCGCGAUACAGGGUGACAGCCCCGUACACAAAAGCGCAUGUGCUGUGAGCUCGAUGAGUAGGGCGGGACACGUGGUAUCCUGUCUGAAUAUGGGGGGACCAUCCUCCAAGGCUAAAUACUCCUGACUGACCGAUAGUGAACCAGUACCGUGAGGGAAAGGCGAAAAGAACCCCGGCGAGGGGAGUGAAAAAGAACCUGAAACCGUGUACGUACAAGCAGUGGGAGCACAGGUUUACCUGUGUGACUGCGUACCUUUUGUAUAAUGGGUCAGCGACUUAUAUUCUGUAGCAAGGUUAACCGAAUAGGGGAGCCGGAGGGAAACCGAGUCUUAAUUGGGCGUUAAGUUGCAGGGUAUAGACCCGAAACCCGGUGAUCUAGCCAUGGGCAGGUUGAAGGUUGGGUAACACUAACUGGAGGACCGAACCGACUAAUGUUGAAAAAUUAGCGGAUGACCUGUGGCUGGGGGUGAAAGGCCAAUCAAACCGGGAGAUAGCUGGUUCUCCCCGAAAGCUAUUUAGGUAGCGCCUCGUGAAUUCAUCUCCGGGGGUAGAGCACUGUUUCGGCUAGGGGGCCAUCCCGGCUUACCAACCCGAUGCAAACUGCGAAUACCGGAGAAUGUUAUCACGGGAGACACACGGCGGGUGCUAACGUCCGUCGUGAAGAGGGAAACAACCCAGACCGCCAGCUAAGGUCCCAAAGUCAUGGUUAAGUGGGAAACGAUGUGGGAAGGCCCAGACAGCCAGGAUGUUGGCUUAGAAGCAGCCAUCAUUUAAAGAAAGCGUAAUAGCUCACUGGUCGAGUCGGCCUGCGCGGAAGAUGUAACGGGGCUAAACCAUGCACCGAAGCUGCGGCAGCGACGCUUAUGCGUUGUUGGGUAGGGGAGCGUUCUGUAAGCCUGUGAAGGUGGCCUGUGAGGGUUGCUGGAGGUAUCAGAAGUGCGAAUGCUGACAUAAGUAACGAUAAAGCGGGUGAAAAGCCCGCUCGCCGGAAGACCAAGGGUUCCUGUCCAACGUUAAUCGGGGCAGGGUGAGUCGACCCCUAAGGCGAGGCCGAAAGGCGUAGUCGAUGGGAAACAGGUUAAUAUUCCUGUACUUGGUGUUACUGCGAAGGGGGGACGGAGAAGGCUAUGUUGGCCGGGCGACGGUUGUCCCGGUUUAAGCGUGUAGGUGUGUGUUCCAGGUAAAUCCGGUUCACUUUAACACUGAGGCGUGAUGACGAGGCACUACGGUGCUGAAGCAACAAAUGCCCUGCUUCCAGGAAAAGCCUCUAAGCAUCAGGUAACAUCAAAUCGUACCCCAAACCGACACAGGUGGUCAGGUAGAGAAUACCAAGGCGCUUGAGAGAACUCGGGUGAAGGAACUAGGCAAAAUGGUGCCGUAACUUCGGGAGAAGGCACGCUGACACGUAGGUGAAGUGAUUUACUCAUGGAGCUGAAGUCAGUCGAAGAUACCAGCUGGCUGCAACUGUUUAUUAAAAACACAGCACUGUGCAAACACGAAAGUGGACGUAUACGGUGUGACGCCUGCCCGGUGCCGGAAGGUUAAUUGAUGGGGUCAGCGCAAGCGAAGCUCCUGAUCGAAGCCCCGGUAAACGGCGGCCGUAACUAUAACGGUCCUAAGGUAGCGAAAUUCCUUGUCGGGUAAGUUCCGACCUGCACGAAUGGCGUAAUGAUGGCCAGGCUGUCUCCACCCGAGACUCAGUGAAAUUGAACUCGCUGUGAAGAUGCAGUGUACCCGCGGCAAGACGGAAAGACCCCGUGAACCUUUACUAUAGCUUGACACUGAACAUUGAGCCUUGAUGUGUAGGAUAGGUGGGAGGCUUUGAAGCGUGGACGCCAGUCUGCGUGGAGCCGACCUUGAAAUACCACCCUUUAAUGUUUGAUGUUCUAACGUGGACCCGUAAUCCGGGUUGCGGACAGUGUCUGGUGGGUAGUUUGACUGGGGCGGUCUCCUCCUAAAGAGUAACGGAGGAGCACGAAGGUUGGCUAAUCCUGGUCGGACAUCAGGAGGUUAGUGCAAUGGCAUAAGCCAGCUUGACUGCGAGCGUGACGGCGCGAGCAGGUGCGAAAGCAGGUCAUAGUGAUCCGGUGGUUCUGAAUGGAAGGGCCAUCGCUCAACGGAUAAAAGGUACUCCGGGGAUAACAGGCUGAUACCGCCCAAGAGUUCAUAUCGACGGCGGUGUUUGGCACCUCGAUGUCGGCUCAUCACAUCCUGGGGCUGAAGUAGGUCCCAAGGGUAUGGCUGUUCGCCAUUUAAAGUGGUACGCGAGCUGGGUUUAGAACGUCGUGAGACAGUUCGGUCCCUAUCUGCCGUGGGCGCUGGAGAACUGAGGGGGGCUGCUCCUAGUACGAGAGGACCGGAGUGGACGCAUCACUGGUGUUCGGGUUGUCAUGCCAAUGGCACUGCCCGGUAGCUAAAUGCGGAAGAGAUAAGUGCUGAAAGCAUCUAAGCACGAAACUUGCCCCGAGAUGAGUUCUCCCUGAGACUUAAAGUCUCCUGAAGGAACGUUGAAGACGACGACGUUGAUAGGCCGGGUGUGUAAGCGCAGCGAUGCGUUGAGCUAACCGGUACUAAUGAACCGUGAGGCUUAACCUUACAACGCCGAAG